GAUGAACGCUGGCGGCGUGCUUAACACAUGCAAGUCGAACGAAGAUGCCGGAGUGCUUGCACUUUGGCAGACUGAGUGGCGGACGGGUGAGUAACGCGUGGGUAACCUGCCUUAUACAGGGGGAUAACAGUUGGAAACGACUGCUAAUACCGCAUAAGCGCACGGUAUCGCAUGAUACAGUGUGAAAAACUCCGGUGGUAUAAGAUGGACCCGCGUCUGAUUAGCUUGUUGGUAAGGUAACGGCCCACCAAGGCGACGAUCAGUAGCCGGCCUGAGAGGGUGAACGGCCACAUUGGGACUGAGACACGGCCCAGACUCCUACGGGAGGCAGCAGUGGGGAAUAUUGCACAAUGGGGGAAACCCUGAUGCAGCGACGCCGCGUGAGUGAUGAAGUAUUUCGGUAUGUAAAACUCUAUCAGCAGGGAAGAUAAUGACGGUACCUGACUAAGAAGCACCGGCUAAAUACGUG
RNAcentral lists this ribosomal RNA (469 nucleotides) under uncultured bacterium. RNAcentral describes it as "bacterial SSU rRNA". It matches the Rfam family "Bacterial small subunit ribosomal RNA", at positions 28 to 507 of the family's 1533-position model. The record is from RNAcentral.